GAUGAACGCUGGCGGCGUGCCUAAUACAUGCAAGUAGAACGCUGAAGGAAGGAGCUUGCUCUUUCCGGAUGAGUUGCGAACGGGUGAGUAACGCGUAGGUAACCUGCCUGGUAGCGGGGGAUAACUAUUGGAAACGAUAGCUAAUACCGCAUAACAGUAGAUGUUGCAUGAUAUCUACUUAAAAGGUGCAAUUGCACCACUACCAGAUGGACCUGCGUUGUAUUAGCUAGUUGGUGAGGUAACGGCUCACCAAGGCGACGAUACAUAGCCGACCUGAGAGGGUGAUCGGCCAAAAUGGGAACGAGACACGGCCCAGAAUCCUACGGGAGGGAGCAGUAGGGAAUCUUCGGCAAUGGACGGAAGUCUGACCGAGCAACGCCGCAUGAGGGAAGAAGGUUCUCGGAUCGUAAAGCUCUGUUGUAAGAGAAGAACGAGUGUGAGAGUGGAAAGUUCACACUGUGACGGUAUCUGACCAGAAAGGGACGGCUAACUACGUG
Molecule: ribosomal RNA, 497 nt
Filed under: uncultured bacterium
Lineage: Bacteria
Description: partial 16S ribosomal RNA
Rfam family: Bacterial small subunit ribosomal RNA
Source: RNAcentral